GUGGCCUUCGCUAGAGGUCGUGAAGUCAUCGUAGUGAUUGCUCCAUAUACUUGGCGACAUGGAAACCUCGGUUCUGAUGGCCGCUGGAUUCUCCCAACCAAAUCUAUCCAUGCAACCUCGAUUCCUCGAUUGGUCUCAGGAACUCAGAAGAGUGUGCGGGCAAAGACCGAACGAUGUCGUCGCCGCUGUCUUCUGCCCACUGUUUCUACGAUGUCGUCGUUCAUCACUCGUGAAGACAUUAACUGCACGGAAGCCAGCUAAAGCAGCUUCUGCUAACGUCACUUGUGGCACAGGCGAACUUGCUGACUAUAUACAACAAGACAAGGCAUUAAAACCCCGUAACCUCCCAAUAAUGUCCACCAGAUCACAUGUCGAAGCCGGCCAUCCCCGAAGAAGCACCGGGGCAGAGAUAAAAAGAAGAAGAUGCAUAUGGCGUACCGCUGUGUUAUGUUAUCUUCUGGGGUAGGCAUGACGAGCUCAUCUCCUGCAAAGAAAGCUUAUAAGUGAGUAGGGCAGUGAGAUGGUCUUUGAUAAGAGUUGUCUAGAGGUUCUCUUUCACCUUUGUGUUUUGGGAGUUUGGUGGUAAAUUGAUGUGAUUUGCCUUGUUGAUGCUUCUA
Non-coding RNA from Musa acuminata subsp. malaccensis (wild Malaysian banana), 617 nucleotides. NCBI's taxonomy places the organism in Eukaryota, Viridiplantae, Streptophyta, Magnoliopsida, Zingiberales, Musaceae. The record is from RefSeq and is a predicted model, not a curated record.